AACAAGGCGUACCUGCGGACCUGCGGAGGGAUCAUCAUCGAAUUCAUAUCCCCCUCCUCUCCCGGAGGGGGACCCAUGAUAAACACUUCUGUGCACCGUAACCGUUCGCUUUGGCAGGCUUUGGUGGUGAGCGUGAGCUCGCCUCCAACCUCGCGUUCCCUCCUCCCUAAGGGGUGUUACGCGUGGCGGCCUGCCGGAGUCCCAUUAAAAAACUCGUUUUCGAACACGUCUGAAAAUUUC
Molecule: unclassified non-coding RNA, 240 nt
Filed under: soil metagenome
Description: partial contains 5.8S ribosomal RNA, internal transcribed spacer 2, and large subunit ribosomal RNA
Source: RNAcentral